CUUUCAAGGAAAUCUCUGAAUUUCAACUAAACUUAAAACAAUAUUUUCAUAUAUUCAUGCUUUAGGUUGUUAGUUUACAUUGGAAUUGUUAAUUUUGGGGAAUUUUGGUAAAUUCUCAUUCAUAAAUUAAAAGAAAUUAAGCAAAUAGCCUCAGUGAAGAUUUAAAGCAAUUAUUGUUUUCAGUGAGUUUAAAGAAGAAACACAUAUAUUGGCACAUGAUAUUUUUAAGACCAGUAAAUGAUUAAUCACAUAACUUUAGUUUAUUCUCCUAUAAAUAGCACAUAAUAGAUCCUAGAUGAAUACUUGCCAAAUGUAAUUAUAGACAGGAAUUUCCUGGUGCAAAUUGGACACGGAAUUGCAAAGCUUUUGCACAUUUUUAACUUAAGCUGACAGUUACAUAUUGAUUAUUGUAGUGUAUAUAUGUAUGUAUAUAUGUAUGUGUGUGCAUGUAUGUGUAUAUAAUGCAUAUUUCUAAACAAAGCCAUUUUAGUUUGUGACUGCUGUUAAAUUGUAUAAAUGUUCUCAUGUGUCUCAAGAGCACUUUAAGCCAAGAAGAACUUUCAGACAUUCCAUUUACUUUCAGACCAGGUAUUUAUUUCCUGCAGCUGCUUAAGUGUGGUGGUAUUCUGUGAAAUAAAGCACAAGGAACCAAAUCUCUGUCCUUGCCCGUCACAUUGGAUAAAAACCCGCAAUGAACAUUUUCAUGUGCUUUGAGUAGGGAGAGGCACUGAGAAGAAACUCAUUUGCAGGCUACAGGCCUUUUCUGGGGAGCCUGAUCCAGUGGCAGAGGUGUCAGUCUGUUGCCACAGUGUCAUCCUAGCCAUGUGGUCUGCACUGAAGAAAUCUUGUGGGCCAUUACCUUGUGUGGGAUGCAAAUAUUUGCGACAAAGGAGUCACUCUGCAUGUUCUAAAAAGCUAUCUAUAUUAUCUGGGCAUAGCUUUAGGGCAAUCAAAUUGGUUUUAAGGUGGUGUGAAAUGCACCAAGUAGACAUUGAAAAUUGAAAAAAAAUACUAAAAGAAUGUGUGUUUAUAUUGUUUUAGGCUUUUUUACCCCAAAGAAAACAAGAAAGUGAACACAACUUUGUGCAUAUCUCACUUUAGAAUUUUGUUUCUGUUAUUAAAAAUUCCACAUAUAAUUUGCAAUUUACUACAUAAUGACCAAUAGAGAGUCCACCAAUAACUUCCAUAAAUGUUCCAAAUGGAAAUAUAUUUGUUCUGAUUUUUGGAAGUGAAUAGUACAAAACAUUUUAACAGAUUCACCAGUUUGAUUGAAUGAAGCUCUGUUUUAAAAUUCACAGAUACAUCUUCAGUGUAACUGAGUAUCUCUUUGCAUUGGGUAAAGUAGUGCACAUGCAGUUUCACAUACUAUUGCAGCAUAGGAUUUCUGGAGAUUACGUUCUAGGCAAGUGAUAAACAUGUCACAGAUAUUUUUAGUGUCUGCAUUUAAAAAAUGAGAUAAAAUUGCAUAUGGGCUUUAGGAUUAUGAAUAUAAAGACAGAGAAUGCGGACUCAUAAUUAGCUGUGGGUACAUCCAAAAACAUCAGGAUUUUUAUGAUGGGUUCAGUUAGGUGAUAGAAAAAUGCCCUUUAAAAUUUUUUUCUAGAGAUAGAAAGUUGCUUUUAUCUGGAUAGCUAAAGUGGAAAAUUCCUAAAUAGUAAUACACACACAUAUGGAUAUAUUUGUGUUAUGUAACAAGUUGUCCUGUUUGUUCACAUUAGUACUUAAAAAGAUAAACCUGCUUUAGUUUUGGGCCUAAUUUGAGCUUAGAACCUAAGUAAGAGCACUUGUUAAACAUAUAUGGUGAGCUGUUGUGAAAACUGUUGCUAGCUUUACCUAUACCACCAUUGCUCCAAAUUAACUGUUCAGGAUCAGAGUGUAAAGACCAGGAAUGUAUAUUUUCUUGCUCCCUCAUCUGGGUGUUAGAAUUUAUCACCUGGUAAAUAAUGUUGGACUUCAACUUGUUUUUGAC
Molecule: long non-coding RNA, 1969 nt
Organism: Heterocephalus glaber (naked mole-rat)
Lineage: Eukaryota; Metazoa; Chordata; Mammalia; Rodentia; Bathyergidae
Source: Ensembl